Molecule: ribosomal RNA, 274 nt
Filed under: uncultured bacterium
Lineage: Bacteria
Description: partial 16S ribosomal RNA
Rfam family: Bacterial small subunit ribosomal RNA
Source: RNAcentral
AUACGGAGGGUGCAAGCGUUAAUCGGAAUUACUGGGCGUAAAGGGCGCGUAGGCGGUUAAAUCAGUCAGAUGUGAAAGCCCCGGGCUUAACCUGGGAAUGGCAUUUGAUACUGUUUAGCUAGAGUUUGGUAGAGGGGAGUGGAAUUUCCGGUGUAGCGGUGAAAUGCGUAGAGAUCUGAAGGAACAUCAGUGGCGAAGGCGGCUCUCUGGACCAAAACUGACGCUGAGGUGCGAAAGCGUGGGUAGCAAACAGGAUUAGAAACCCCAGUAGUCC